RNAcentral lists this ribosomal RNA (465 nucleotides) under uncultured bacterium. RNAcentral describes it as "partial 16S ribosomal RNA". It matches the Rfam family "Bacterial small subunit ribosomal RNA", at positions 28 to 507 of the family's 1533-position model. The record is from RNAcentral.
GACGAACGCUGGCGGCGUGCUUAACACAUGCAAGUCGUACGGUAAGGCCCUUUCGGGGGUACACGAGUGGCGCACGGGUGAGUAACACGUGAGUAGCCUGCCCACAACUUUGGGAUAACGCUAGGAAACUGGUGCUAAUACUGGAUAUGUGCUCCUGCUGCAUGGUGGGGGUUGGAAAGCUCCGGCGGUUGUGGAUGGACUCGCGGCCUAUCAGCUUGUUGGUGGGGUAGUGGCCUACCAAGGCGGCGACGGGUAGCCGGCCUGAGAGGGUGACCGGCCACAUUGGGACUGAGAUACGGCCCAGACUCCUACGGGAGGCAGCAGUGGGGAAUAUUGCACAAUGGGCGCAAGCCUGAUGCAGCAACGCCGCGUGCGGGAUGACGGCCUUCGGGUUGUAAACCGCUUUCAGCAGGGACGAAGCUUUUUGUGACGGUACCUGCAGAAGAAGCACCGGCUAACUACGUG